UACGUAGGUGGCGAGCGUUAUCCGGAUUUACUGGGUGUAAAGGGCGCGUAGGCGGGAAUGCAAGUCAGAUGUGAAAUCUAUGGGCUUAACCCAUAAACUGCAUUUGAAACUGCAUUUCUUGAGUGUCGGAGAGGUAGACGGAAUUCCUAGUGUAGCGGUGAAAUGCGUAGAUAUUAGGAGGAACACCAGUGGCGAAGGCGGUCUACUGGACGAUAACUGACGCUGAGGCGCGAAAGCGUGGGGAGCAA
This 248-nucleotide ribosomal RNA is filed under the name uncultured Oscillospiraceae bacterium. RNAcentral describes it as "partial 16S ribosomal RNA". It matches the Rfam family "Bacterial small subunit ribosomal RNA", at positions 524 to 771 of the family's 1533-position model. The record is from RNAcentral. Lineage: Bacteria; Bacillati; Bacillota; Clostridia; Eubacteriales; Oscillospiraceae.